AUUGAACGCUGGCGGCAGGCCUAACACAUGCAAGUCGAGCGGAUGAAGGGAGCUUGCUCCUGGAUUCAGCGGCGGACGGGUGAGAAAUCCCUAGAAAUCUGCCUGGUAGUGGGGGAUAACGUCCGGAAACGGGCGCUAAUCCCGACUCCGUCCUGCGGGCGAACGUGGGGGAUCUUCGGCCCUCAGCCUAUCAGCUAGGCCUAGGCCGGAUGAGCUAGUUGGUGGGGUAAAGGCCUACCAAGGCGACGAUCCGUAACUGUUCUGAGAGGAUGAUCAGUCACACUGGAACUGAGACACGGUCCACACUCCUACGGGAGGCAGCAGUGGGGAAUAUUGGACAAUGGGCGAAAGCCUGAUCCAGCCAUGCCGCGUGUGUGAAGAAGGUCUUCGGAUUGUAAAGCACUUUAAGUUGGGAGGAAGGGCAGUAAGUUAAUACCUUGCUGUUUUGACGUUACCAACAGAAUAAGCACCGGCUAACUUCGUG
Molecule: ribosomal RNA, 484 nt
Filed under: uncultured bacterium
Lineage: Bacteria
Description: partial 16S ribosomal RNA
Rfam family: Bacterial small subunit ribosomal RNA
Source: RNAcentral